Molecule: ribosomal RNA, 800 nt
Filed under: Bacillus safensis
Lineage: Bacteria; Bacillati; Bacillota; Bacilli; Caryophanales; Bacillaceae
Description: bacterial SSU rRNA
Rfam family: Bacterial small subunit ribosomal RNA
Source: RNAcentral
GGGGGGGGGGGCCCUAUUACUGUCAAUGUCGAGCAGGACAGAAGGGAGCUUGCUCCCGGAUGUUAGCGGCGGACGGGUGAGUAACACGUGGGUAACCUGCCUGUAAGACUGGGAUAACUCCGGGAAACCGGAGCUAAUACCGGAUAGUUCCUUGAACCGCAUGGUUCAAGGAUGAAAGACGGUUUCGGCUGUCACUUACAGAUGGACCCGCGGCGCAUUAGCUAGUUGGUGGGGUAAUGGCUCACCAAGGCAACGAUGCGUAGCCGACCUGAGAGGGUGAUCGGCCACACUGGGACUGAGACACGGCCCAGACUCCUACGGGAGGCAGCAGUAGGGAAUCUUCCGCAAUGGACGAAAGUCUGACGGAGCAACGCCGCGUGAGUGAUGAAGGUUUUCGGAUCGUAAAGCUCUGUUGUUAGGGAAGAACAAGUGCGAGAGUAACUGCUCGCACCUUGACGGUACCUAACCAGAAAGCCACGGCUAACUACGUGCCAGCAGCCGCGGUAAUACGUAGGUGGCAAGCGUUGUCCGGAAUUAUUGGGCGUAAAGGGCUCGCAGGCGGUUUCUUAAGUCUGAUGUGAAAGCCCCCGGCUCAACCGGGGAGGGUCAUUGGAAACUGGGAAACUUGAGUGCAGAAGAGGAGAGUGGAAUUCCACGUGUAGCGGUGAAAUGCGUAGAGAUGUGGAGGAACACCAGUGGCGAAGGCGACUCUCUGGUCUGUAACUGACGCUGAGGAGCGAAAGCGUGGGGAGCGAACAGGAUUAGAUACCCUGGUAGUCCACGCCGUAAACGAUGAGUGC